ACAUGUAGGUAUCUGCCCUUUGGCCUGGAAUAACACGAGGAAACUUGUGCUAAUACCGGAUAAGUCUUUACGGAGAAAGCUUUAUGCACCAUUGGAUGAGCCUGCACUUGAUUAGUUUGUUGGUGGGGUAAUGGCCUACCAAGACUGUGAUCAAUAGCUGAUUUGAGAGGAUGAUCAGCCACAUUGGGACUGAGACACGGCCCAAACUCCUACGGGAGGCAGCAGUGGGGAAUCUUGCACAAUGGAGGAAACUCUGAUGCAGCGAUGCCGCGUGAGUGAAGAAGGCCCUUGGGUUGUAAAGCUCUUUCGUCGGGG
This 315-nucleotide ribosomal RNA is filed under the name uncultured bacterium. RNAcentral describes it as "bacterial SSU rRNA". It matches the Rfam family "Bacterial small subunit ribosomal RNA", at positions 113 to 444 of the family's 1533-position model. The record is from RNAcentral.